AUGGAGGAGGAACUUAGGGAAUUAGUGGUCCAGUUGAAGGCAGACAAUGAACGGUUGCGCCAGGAAAGCGCUCUCGCGUUGCCUGGCCUUAGUACAUCUUAUGUGCCCGAUCCUGAGCCGGUUGUGCCUCCUCUAGGCGUUUCGGGUGCCAAUCCGUCUGAAAGAUUUGUGUUUGUACCCCGUGACCGGAAGUGUCCCCGAUGUAGUGGUAGGUCUGGUAUUGGCCUCAACGAAUGGAUUGAGGAGGCACAGGCUUGUAUUCGGGCUCGUCAUUUGUCAAUUGGUGAGCAGGCGUUUUUUCUAUUUGACCAUUUAGACGGGGAAGCUCGAGACGAGAUCCGGUAUCGUUCGGAAGUUGAACGAGGGGAUCCCGAAAAGAUUUUUUCCGCUUUACGUGAGGUUUUUGGCUGCUCACAGUCCCACGUGGCACUGCAGGAGGCGUUCUUUUCCAGACGACAGUUAGAGGGGGAGAGUCUAUUGGAGUUUUCGCUCGCUCUGAUGGGUCUUAUGGAAAAAGUAAAGCAGUGGUUUUCUGGGGCUGUUUUAAAUGCUCCCAUAUUACUGCGUGACCAGUUUGUCGAGCAUGUCGUCGAUAAUGCCCUCCGGCGCGAACUUAAGCAGUUAGUUCGCCGUCAACCAAAUACCACGCUAUUAGAAGUACGUAGUGAGGCAAUCCGGUGGGAACAGGAAGGUUUGCCUGGGGGUGCGAUGGCUCGUAGCCAGUCUGUCCCAUUUUCAUAUGGGAUUCAAUAUGGUGUGCAGGGGGGGCAGCGUUCUGUUACAAAUGAGUCUUUGUUGUCUGAAUUGAGCGAAUUACGAGAAAUGUUAAAAGCACAACAAAAUCAGUUGAAUCAGCUGACUCAAAGCUUUGCCCAAUGUCAAGGCGCGCGUUCACGUAUUCACUCUCUGCGCUACGGACCGGUGAUUUGUAGGCGGUGCCAUCAACCUGACCAUUUUGCCAGGGAGUGUAAUUUAUCACUGCCUGACACUUUGACCUCUGGUUCUUUGUCUUCUGAUCCCUCGCAUUCUGACCCUACCGCGUCAUCUGUAGCAAGAGGGCCACAUCAUUCAAGCUCGGCUGGGGUAAUUAGGGGCUCGAUGUCCCAUUUAAUGUCUGGCUGCCCACAAUUGGUGGUUAAGAUUGGGGGAGUAGGG
Molecule: long non-coding RNA, 1155 nt
Organism: Cyprinus carpio carpio
Lineage: Eukaryota; Metazoa; Chordata; Actinopteri; Cypriniformes; Cyprinidae
Source: Ensembl